RNAcentral lists this ribosomal RNA (1163 nucleotides) under Sesame phyllody phytoplasma. RNAcentral's name for it is "bacterial SSU rRNA". It matches the Rfam family "Bacterial small subunit ribosomal RNA", at positions 201 to 1367 of the family's 1533-position model. The record is from RNAcentral. Lineage: Bacteria; Bacillati; Mycoplasmatota; Mollicutes; Acholeplasmatales; Acholeplasmataceae.
UUAAAAGACCUAGCAAUAGGUAUGCUUAGGGAGGAGCUUGCGUCACAUUAGUUAGUUGGUGGGGUAAAGGCCUACCAAGACUAUGAUGUGUAGCCGGGCUGAGAGGUUGAACGGCCACAUUGGGACUGAGACACGGCCCAAACUCCUACGGGAGGCAGCAGUAGGGAAUUUUCGGCAAUGGAGGAAACUCUGACCGAGCAACGCCGCGUGAACGAUGAAGUAUUUCGGUACGUAAAGUUCUUUUAUUAGGGAAGAAUAAAUGAUGGAAAAAUCAUUCUGACGGUACCUAAUGAAUAAGCCCCGGCUAACUAUGUGCCAGCAGCCGCGGUAAUACAUAGGGGGCAAGCGUUAUCCGGAAUUAUUGGGCGUAAAGGGUGCGUAGGCGGUUAAAUAAGUUUAUGGUCUAAGUGCAAUGCUCAACAUUGUGAUGCUAUAAAAACUGUUUAGCUAGAGUAAGAUAGAGGCAAGUGGAAUUCCAUGUGUAGUGGUAAAAUGCGUAAAUAUAUGGAGGAACACCAGUAGCGAAGGCGGCUUGCUGGGUCUUUACUGACGCUGAGGCACGAAAGCGUGGGGAGCAAACAGGAUUAGAUACCCUGGUAGUCCACGCCGUAAACGAUGAGUACUAAACGUUGGGUAAAACCAGUGUUGAAGUUAACACAUUAAGUACUCCGCCUGAGUAGUACGUACGCAAGUAUGAAACUUAAAGGAAUUGACGGGACUCCGCACAAGCGGUGGAUCAUGUUGUUUAAUUCGAAGGUACCCGAAAAACCUCACCAGGUCUUGACAUGCUUCUGCAAAGCUGUAGAAACACAGUGGAGGUUAUCAGUUGCACAGGUGGUGCAUGGUUGUCGUCAGCUCGUGUCGUGAGAUGUUGGGUUAAGUCCCGCAACGAGCGCAACCCUUAUUGUUAGUUACCAGCACGUAAUGGUGGGGACUUUAGCAAGACUGCCAGUGAUAAAUUGGAGGAAGGUGGGGACGACGUCAAAUCAUCAUGCCCCUUAUGACCUGGGCUACAAACGUGAUACAAUGGCUGUUACAAAGGGUAGCUGAAGCGCAAGUUUUUGGCGAAUCUCAAAAAAACAGUCUCAGUUCGGAUUGAAGUCUGCAACUCGACUUCAUGAAGUGGAAUCGCUAGUAAUCGCGAAUCAGCAUUAGGCCGAAAU